UAUCUCUGUAGAGUCUGCAUAUCAAUAAGCGGAGGAAAAGAAACUAACAAGGAUUCCCCUAGUAACGGCGAGUGAAGCGGGAAGAGCUCAAAUUUGAAAUCUUCAAGGUUCUGACCUUGACGAAUUGUAGUUUAAAGAAGUGUUUUCGGUUAGAGGAGUAGUAAAAGUUCUUUGGAAUAGGACAUCAUAGAGGGUGAGAAUCCCGUAUUUGACUAUUCUUUCUAGCUUUGUGAUACACUUUCAAAGAGUCGGAUUGUUUGGGAAUGCAGUCCAAAAUGGGUGGUAAAUUUCAUCUAAAGCUAAAUAUUGGCGAGAGACCGAUAGCGAACAAGUACCGUGAGGGAAAGAUGAAAAGAACUUUGAAAAGAGAGUUAAACAGUACGUGAAAUUGUCAAAAGGGAAGCGUUUGACACCAGUGUUGUUUUUUCCGAAAAUCAAUUAAAAAUUGAUUCAUGCCAGGUUGUAUUGACCUUAUCAGCUUGCAAUUUGGUUUUGGGUCUCUUUUUGAUGCACUUUUCGGUUAACAAGUCAACAUCAAUUUCCUUUGCUGUAAAAAGGUAAGAGGAAGGUGGCUUCAAUUUCGGUUGAAGUGUUUAUAGCCUUUUAUCUCUGCAGUCGGGGAGAUUGAGGUCUGCAGCGUAGAUCCUUCGGGGCUAGAUACAUUUAUGCUAAGUUAUAGCUUUUCAUAGACAACUUGUUGACUAUGUUUAGUCAUGUAGCUUACUCGUAAGUGCUAUUUUACCUACGCUUAGGAUGUUGA
RNAcentral lists this ribosomal RNA (760 nucleotides) under uncultured Neocallimastigales. Its description in RNAcentral is "partial large subunit ribosomal RNA". It matches the Rfam family "Eukaryotic large subunit ribosomal RNA", at positions 24 to 629 of the family's 3401-position model. Lineage: Eukaryota; Fungi; Neocallimastigomycota; Neocallimastigomycetes; Neocallimastigales. The record is from RNAcentral.